AGCUUCCUACGGGGCGCAGCAGUGAGGAAUAUUGGUCAAUGGGAGAGAUCCUGAACCAGCCACGCCGCGUGAGGGAAGACGGCCCUAUGGGUUGUAAACCUCUUUUGUCGGAGAACAAAACCCGGGACGUGUCCAGGACUGCGUGUAUCCGAAGAAAAAGCAUCGGCUAACUCCGUGCCAGCAGCAGCGGUAAUACGGAGGAUGCGAGCGUUAUCCGGAUUUAUUGGGUUUA
Molecule: ribosomal RNA, 232 nt
Filed under: uncultured bacterium
Lineage: Bacteria
Description: partial 16S ribosomal RNA
Rfam family: Bacterial small subunit ribosomal RNA
Source: RNAcentral